GUGGGUGGAAAAGCUCAUUGUAGAAGCGUCACAUGCUGAGUGCUCGUCCUCCACCAAUCCCCCGGGGAAGGUCUGAGACAAGAGCCAAUGGUUACCCUCGCACAGGGUAUCACCCUGAUGCAGGUGAGUUGACAGGAACAGAACGAAUGGGUCAAUGUGGGAAGUUCUAGCAGGGAAGCCUGGUGCGCAGUUUCUCAGCUACCGGUGGAUGUGAUCUCCCGACUUGGAAUCUCUCGCGGCUGGCAUAUGAGUGCGAUGUAUGAGGUGGGGACACAGCUCCAGAACCCAAUUAGACUACUCUCCCCCCAU
RNAcentral lists this RNase P RNA (309 nucleotides) under Larimichthys crocea (large yellow croaker). Its description in RNAcentral is "Nuclear RNase P (ENSLCRG00005004418.1)". It matches the Rfam family "Nuclear RNase P". From Rfam's summary of the family: Ribonuclease P (RNase P) is a ubiquitous endoribonuclease, found in archaea, bacteria and eukarya as well as chloroplasts and mitochondria. Its best characterised activity is the generation of mature 5'-ends of tRNAs by cleaving the 5'-leader elements of precursor-tRNAs. Cellular RNase Ps are ribonucleoproteins. The record is from RNAcentral. Lineage: Eukaryota; Metazoa; Chordata; Actinopteri; Sciaenidae.